Molecule: non-coding RNA, 87 nt
Organism: Podarcis lilfordi (Lilford's wall lizard)
Lineage: Eukaryota; Metazoa; Chordata; Lepidosauria; Squamata; Lacertidae
Source: the annotation of a GenBank genome assembly
GACCAACUAAGUUUGUUCUGGGUAUAAGCUUUCUGCAGAAGCGUGCAUGCACAUGAAAGCUUAUACCCAGAACAAACUUAGUUGGUC